Cercocebus atys (sooty mangabey) is the source of this 105-nucleotide microRNA precursor. Lineage: Eukaryota; Metazoa; Chordata; Mammalia; Primates; Cercopithecidae. The record is from Ensembl.
GCCCCCUCUUUAUGCGUUUGUGUUUUACCACCUCCAGGAGACUGCCCAAAGACUCUUCAGUAUCAUGGAGUUGGUAAAGCACAGAUGCAUGAAAAGUUCAAUGUG